RNAcentral lists this long non-coding RNA (246 nucleotides) under Elaeis guineensis (African oil palm). RNAcentral's name for it is "long non-coding RNA (EGUI_LNC049600)". The record is from RNAcentral. Lineage: Eukaryota; Viridiplantae; Streptophyta; Magnoliopsida; Arecales; Arecaceae.
GCUACCACAUCACUAAUUUUGGACUUUCUCCCUGGAGAAACUGUAGUGCUCUUAGACCGACACUCACCGCAAUCAAUGCUCCACCUGACAUGGUCCCCUCAGAGCUAUGCAGCUCCUCCUGCACACUUCGCUCCAUCUGGCUUGGUGCAGCCUUGGUGCUGGUGCUGGGAUGUCGAUCCUCCCAGACCCCUCCACUCUAAACAUGUGUCACAUCAGCCUCCACCUGUGAAGACACCUUUGCCCGAU